Long non-coding RNA from Zophobas morio, 626 nucleotides. RefSeq lists it as uncharacterized. The record is from RefSeq and is a predicted model, not a curated record. The transcript has 3 exons. Lineage: Eukaryota; Metazoa; Arthropoda; Insecta; Coleoptera; Tenebrionidae.
UUCGAACGCGCACGUCCGGUCCUGGAAUAAGUCGUGUGAUAAACAAACAACAGUUAGGCCAUUGUUUUGGAGACAAUUGAACGGUGGUUCGGUGCUUCGUAGCCAGCUCGGAUGAAUGAUUUCGGAUGGGCGGGUCCUGGCCUGCAAUCGAUGGGAUAAUGAAUGGGAGAAUGUAAUCGUAUGCUCGUUUAGCACCUACACGCACGGUUUGGGCUUUGUUGGACCGGCGAUUAGGAUCGGAUAUGAGUGAUGGCGCCCAAAUUGGACGGCUAAUUAGGGAGUUUGAAGGACGUGGAAAUGACCGGAGCCGGCCCUGGGGAGAGGCAUAGAGAGACGGCUGGGUUUUUUCGGGUUUUAAUGAUUAGUAAAUUGGGCGGCGAGAGGCAAUAAACCCGGACUAAGUAAUUGAAUUUCAGAAUUCUGAAUAAAUUUUGGAACUCAAUUUUUAGGAUGAAGGAUUGCAGGAAUGAUGACUUCAGAAACAACACCUUCAAAAUUUAGGUUUCUGAAUACGAAAUUUCAAGAUUUAGAAUUUUAAGAUUGAUUCAAAAUUCACAAUUUGAGCAUUUGCGAUUUCUGGAUUGAGUAUUUAAGAAUUUAAAAUUUCAUCAGUCCAUUUUAUGAGA